Molecule: ribosomal RNA, 579 nt
Filed under: Triticum aestivum (bread wheat)
Lineage: Eukaryota; Viridiplantae; Streptophyta; Magnoliopsida; Poales; Poaceae
Description: partial small subunit ribosomal RNA
Source: RNAcentral
AUGUACCCUGUAGCUUGGGCUGUAGUCGAAAAAGAAACAUAUGCGUCCUGGUUCUGGUUUGUUGAGAAGUUAAACAGAGACCUCAAAAUCAGUAAUCAAGGGGAUGUGUGGGUGUUCAUCUCAGACCAGCAGAAAGGACUAAUAGGGGCUAUAGAGGAUAUUCUUCCAAAAGCAGAACAUAGGAUGUGUGCAAGGCACAUUUACUCCAACUGGAAGAAAAAACAUAAUGACAAAGAUUUGCAAAAGAGAUUCUGGAGAUGUGCGAAGGCUCCUAACAGGUCUCUGUUCAACUAUAACAGAGCACGGUUGGCUCAAUUCACAGUUGAAGGAGCAAAGGACAUGAUGAAUACAAACCCAAUUCACUGGAGUAGGGCUUACAUGAAGCUGGGAAGCUACUGUGAUUCAGUUGACAAUAAUAUGUGUGAGUCAUUCAACAACUGGAUUAUGGAAUCAAGAUAUCUACCUAUUAUAUCUAUGAUGGAGUGGAUAAGAUGCAAAAUUAUGGUGAGGAUACAAGAAUGCAUUACCAAGUGUUUGAAAUGGUCAGGAAUCAUAUGCCCAAACAUAUUUAAAAACUGA